RNAcentral lists this ribosomal RNA (615 nucleotides) under Triticum aestivum (bread wheat). RNAcentral's name for it is "partial small subunit ribosomal RNA". Lineage: Eukaryota; Viridiplantae; Streptophyta; Magnoliopsida; Poales; Poaceae. The record is from RNAcentral.
AUGACCAUCUUCGACGACCUGCCCGAGUGGCUUGUCAUCGAUGAGAUCCUUGCCCGGUUGCCACCCAAAGAUGUGCUCCGCUGCCGUGCUGUCCGCAAGUCGUGGCACAACGGCACUUCCACCAAUGCGUUCAUCCUCGACCAUCACCGACGCCAGCCGUUGCUCCCCAUCAUUGAACAACGACGAAAGGGCUUCUGCCACAUUGCCGGAGCCUCUAAUGGUCAAAGGAUAUGGCCCAUCCUCCGGAGGAAGUACAAAACAAGCUAUUAUACACCGUGCCUGCGACUGCCUCCUCAUCCUGGGUGGCAAUCCAAUUUCUACAUCUGCAAUCCGACCACCCGCAAGUGUGCUUCCCUGCCACAUCCUCCACAACGACCAGGCGCCAGCGUCGUCGCCGUAGUCGCCUUCUACCGGCACCAUACAUCUAGAGAGUACCGGGUUCUCUGGGUGUCAUACUCCAGACCGAUCAGCUCUUGUGUCCUAGUACAGUCACGAGUACUUCGUCCUCACGGUGGGAUCAAAUCAGCCAAGAUGCAUCCAGUGUCCGACAGUUUCACAACACACGCUUCAUGUCACCCAGUCCCCCUAUUGUCCACCAGUCCACCAUCGUGGUAG